AAGGUAUCAGUUUUUUAAAGUUUGACCAAAGAUAUCAAAAAGAUCACAAAAUUAGCCGAAAAGGAUAAUGUUAAAAAUAAAUCAAGAGGUAACUCAACUUAGCUUCAAGCUAUCCAUCUACACAACUUGUUCAAGUAAUAUCAUCCUUGAUUCUAAAAACAACCUCUCCCAACAAAUUAUGCAAUAGAAAAUCAAAUGACACCACUAGCCCCACGCCCAAAAAUUUUUGGAAAAAAUAGAACUACCAGAAAAAAAAAAAGGAAAAAAAAGAACCAUUUUCCCACCUCCGUUAUCUUCUUUCCUUCUCAAUGACUAAAAAGCAUCAAUCCUGAGCGAAAACUCAUUGUCCGUUAUAACCAUUUUCAUACUGUAAGGAACCAUCAGAUAUCCUUCAGAUCACUCCAACCUGAGUUAAAUAGCUUAUGCCCCAAAGCUGGGUCAGAUUCUACAACAUCAAGAAAGUAAAUGACAGUUCAUACCAAUGGCCAAGAUUACAAAUAUCAAUACAAGGUAAAGGGAUCAAUCCAAGACUUUAGUGCACACACCAAAGUGCAUAGAGAGCAACACUAUAGUCAAAUCCAAAUGUAAGUUGAUUUAUGAAGAAAUGCCUAUCAUUCGGGAGAGAUCUGAGAGCAGCUAAGACAAGAAGCAAUAGCCCAAAUGCAUGUUUGCAUCAAUGAGAUAACAGAUGGUGCUAAAAGAUGACUGCUUUAAAGGGAGGGAGGGGGCACCAUUAACCAGCAAACCAUUUGGCAGGACCCUGAAGUACUGGUCGCAUCUGUUACUGCUUGACUGCAGGCUGCAGCAAACUGUGAACCUAUUCUCCACCGCAGAAGUCCAAUUACCAUGAAAUUUUGAGAAAAACAGCACAUUAUGACCUAAACAUACAAUUGAAAGGAUCUUAUAUUGUCUCCGGUACUUGGACAAAGAGGCACACUCACAUAAGAAGCCAGGCAAAAAGUGCAUUCCAUCUGCAGAUAGAGCGAACAUCACAUUAAAAUCAUUAUUUGAGUUCUUCAAUAUAGAAGUAGCACAAAGAAGGAAGAACCUUAACAAAUAAAUGCAAACACAUUGUCAAAUAUUUUUCUCACAAAUAACCAACCAUAUUCAUAUCGAAAAUGCCUCAUUCCAAAUUCCUGAAACAUGCAAUUGUGAACUUAAAAACUUCCCAAAUCGGACCAUGAUAGCCAUGCUCAUCCCCCAUGAAAGCAAAGCCCUUUCUAAAUCUUAACCUAUAGGCAAUAAGCUUCAUCACUAUCCACUCUUCAUUAUAUCACAGUACCUCUUAACACCACAAAAAAAUGAAACUACAAAAUGAGCAAACUGUAUAGAGGGAAAUAAAUGUCCUUUACCAAUAACAUUUGUUAUCUCUGUACAACGAGGCAAUUUCUUUGAAGUUAAUGAAAUGUUUAUCUGAUGAAAACUUAUUUUCCUUUUUUCAGUAAUAUUACAUUUAACUAAGCGCUCAAUUUUGAUUGGUUGAGAACAGUACAAAGACCACUUACAAGAGCCAGUGGAAGUGUUUUAAAUAAAGAUAAAAAGGAUUACCAGCAAUAAUCCAACAACUAGCUACAGGAUCAAAGGGAAUAGGGCUGAAACCUAUCUGUCAAAGUAUCAUUCCAUCUUCCAAAAUACAACCUUUCCUUGAUGCUUAAGUCAAUCAAACUAUGAAUAAAAUGGACCCUGUAAUAAGUAUGUGUAUUACUUAUCAAGAAAAAAACCCCGAUAAAGUACCCCGAUAAAGUAUUAUAUCAUAUAUAAAUGGUAAUAUUAGGAGCAAAACAAUUGUCCAGGCAAAUUCCGAAGGUACCAUUUCGCAUCAUGUCAAUACUAGUAGUAUCAUAUAAAUGGUGAGUAUCAAUACCGUUAAAGGGGAUAAGAACAAACACAAGUAUCAGUGUUGUCAAAG
Molecule: long non-coding RNA, 1909 nt
Filed under: Nicotiana tabacum (common tobacco)
Lineage: Eukaryota; Viridiplantae; Streptophyta; Magnoliopsida; Solanales; Solanaceae
Description: long non-coding RNA (NTAB_LNC018694)
Source: RNAcentral